Molecule: transfer RNA, 70 nt
Filed under: Nanorana taihangnica (Taihangshan swelled-vented frog)
Lineage: Eukaryota; Metazoa; Chordata; Amphibia; Anura; Dicroglossidae
Description: tRNA-Val
Source: RNAcentral
CAAACUGUAGCUUAACUUAAAGCCCCUUGCUUACACCAAGAGAAUGUCUGUGAGACCCAGACCAUUUUGA